CCGGCGACCGGCGGACGGGUGCGUAACGCGUAUGUAACCUACCUUUGACAGGGGGAUAACAUCGAGAAAUUGGUACUAAUACCCCAUAACAUCACCGGAGGCAUCUUCGGUGGUUGAAAACUCAGGUGGUCAGAGAUGGACAUGCGUUGUAUUAGCUAGUUGGUGAGGUAACGGCUCACCAAGGCGACGACACAUAGGGGGACUGAGAGGUCAACCCCCCACAUUGGUACUGAGACACGGACCAAACUCCUACGGAAGGCAGCAG
RNAcentral lists this ribosomal RNA (265 nucleotides) under uncultured bacterium. Its description in RNAcentral is "partial 16S ribosomal RNA". It matches the Rfam family "Bacterial small subunit ribosomal RNA", at positions 88 to 354 of the family's 1533-position model. The record is from RNAcentral.